UCGGGUUGUAAAGCACUUUUGUCCGGAAAGAAAACCUCAGCCCGAAUACGGCGGGGGGAUGACGGUACCGGAAGAAUAAGCACCGGCUAACUACGUGCCAGCAGCGCGGUAAUCGUAGGGUGCGAGCGUUAAUCGGAAUUACUGGGCGUAAAGCGUGCGCAGGCGGUUCGUUAAGACAGAUGUGAAAUCCCCGGGCUUAACCUGGGAACUGCAUUUGUGACUGGCGGGCUAGAGUAUGGCAGAGGGGGGUAGAAUUCCACGUGUAGCAGUGAAAUGCGUAGAGAUGUGGAGGAAUACCGAUGGCGAAGGCAGCCCCCUGGGCCAAUACUGACGCUCAUGCACGAAAGCGUGGGGAGCAAACAGGAUUAGAUACCCUGGUAGUCCACGCCCUAAACGAUGUCAACUAGUUGUCGGGUCUUCAUUGACUUGGUAACGUAGCUAACGCGUGAAGUUGACCGCCUGGGGAGUACGGUCGCAAGAUUAAAACUCAAAGGAAUUGACGGGGACCCGCACAAGCGGUGGAUGAAUGUGGAUUAAUUCGAUGCAACGCGAAAAACCUUACCUACCCUUGACAUGGACGGAACCUGGCUG
Molecule: ribosomal RNA, 591 nt
Filed under: uncultured Burkholderia sp.
Lineage: Bacteria; Pseudomonadati; Pseudomonadota; Betaproteobacteria; Burkholderiales; Burkholderiaceae
Description: bacterial SSU rRNA
Rfam family: Bacterial small subunit ribosomal RNA
Source: RNAcentral